RNAcentral lists this ribosomal RNA (628 nucleotides) under Enterobacter cloacae. RNAcentral describes it as "partial 23S ribosomal RNA". It matches the Rfam family "Bacterial large subunit ribosomal RNA", at positions 611 to 1239 of the family's 2925-position model. The record is from RNAcentral. Lineage: Bacteria; Pseudomonadati; Pseudomonadota; Gammaproteobacteria; Enterobacterales; Enterobacteriaceae.
UAUAAUGGGUCAGCGACUUAUAUUCUGUAGCAAGGUUAACCGUAUAGGGGAGCCGAAGGGAAACCGAGUCUUAACUGGGCGUUAAGUUGCAGGGUAUAGACCCGAAACCCGGUGAUCUAGCCAUGGGCAGGUUGAAGGUUGGGUAACACUAACUGGAGGACCGAACCGACUAAUGUUGAAAAAUUAGCGGAUGACCUGUGGCUGGGGGUGAAAGGCCAAUCAAACCGGGAGAUAGCUGGUUCUCCCCGAAAGCUAUUUAGGUAGCGCCUCGUGAACUCAUCUUCGGGGGUAGAGCACUGUUUCGGCUAGGGGGCCAUCCCGGCUUACCAACCCGAUGCAAACUACGAAUACCGAAGAAUGUUAUCACGGGAGACACACGGCGGGUGCUAACGUCCGUCGUGAAGAGGGAAACAACCCAGACCGCCAGCUAAGGUCCCAAAGUCAUGGUUAAGUGGGAAACGAUGUGGGAAGGCCCAGACAGCCAGGAUGUUGGCUUAGAAGCAGCCAUCAUUUAAAGAAAGCGUAAUAGCUCACUGGUCGAGUCGGCCUGCGCGGAAGAUGUAACGGGGCUAAACCAUGCACCGAAGCUGCGGCAGCGACGCUUAUGCGUUGUUGGGUAGGGGAGCGU